Molecule: non-coding RNA, 148 nt
Organism: Homo sapiens (human)
Lineage: Eukaryota; Metazoa; Chordata; Mammalia; Primates; Hominidae
Rfam family: Metazoan signal recognition particle RNA
About the family: The signal recognition particle (SRP) is a universally conserved ribonucleoprotein. It is involved in the co-translational targeting of proteins to membranes.
Source: Rfam
GCUGGGCACGGUGGUGUGUGCCUGUAAUCCCAGCUACUCGGGAGGCUGAGGCAGGAGAAUUGCUUGAACCUGGGAGGCUGAGGUUGCAGUGAGCUGAAAUCGUGCCACUGCACUCCAGCCUAGGUGACAGAGCGAGACUCUGUCUCAA